This 537-nucleotide ribosomal RNA is filed under the name Myleus micans. Its description in RNAcentral is "partial small subunit ribosomal RNA". It matches the Rfam family "Bacterial small subunit ribosomal RNA", at positions 657 to 1402 of the family's 1533-position model. The record is from RNAcentral. Lineage: Eukaryota; Metazoa; Chordata; Actinopteri; Characiformes; Serrasalmidae.
UAAAGCCAAAGACCUCCCAAGCUGUCAAACGCACUCCGGAGGCACGAAACCCUAACACGAAAGUAGCUUUACCUUUAUCCCCGACGCCACGAAAGCUAAGAAACAAACUGGGAUUAGAUACCCCACUAUGCUUAGCCCUAAACCCAGAUGUAGCACGUACAAACAACAUCCGCCAGGGUACUACAAGCGCUAGCUUAAAACCCAAAGGACUUGACGGUGUCUCAGACCCGCCUAGAGGAGCCUGUUCUAGAACCGAUAAUCCCCGUUGAACCUCACCAUCCCUUGUUUUUCCCGCCUAUAUACCGCCGUCGCAAGCUUACCCUGUGAAGGGUCUACAGUAAGCAAAAUGGGUAGACCCCAAAACGUCAGGUCGAGGUGUAGCUAACGAGAUGGGAAGAAAUGGGCUACAUUUUCUACAACAGAAUAUCACGAACGGCACCAUGAAAAUUAGUGCCUGAAGGUGGAUUUAGCAGUAAAAAACAAACAGAGCGUGUUUUUGAAUCAGGCUCUGAGACGCGCACACACCGCCCGUCACUC